This 214-nucleotide long non-coding RNA is filed under the name Elaeis guineensis (African oil palm). Its description in RNAcentral is "long non-coding RNA (EGUI_LNC016032)". Lineage: Eukaryota; Viridiplantae; Streptophyta; Magnoliopsida; Arecales; Arecaceae. The record is from RNAcentral.
AUCUGAAGCCACGCCCCUUCUCAAUGCCAAAGGAAGAUUAGGUAGGUUUGAAAUUUAUUUUGAUUUGAUUCCUUAUCUGAUAAGGUUUCCACCUCAUCCUAACUACCUUUGGAUGCCACAUUAAAAGAAGUCUCUUUUGUGCAACAAAAGAUUUUCAUGAGAAAAAUAUUUUUUAUCAUGGAAUUUCUUAGGGGGCGUGACAUGCUUUGGCAUG